GAUGAACGCUGGCGGCGUGCUUAACACAUGCAAGUCGAACGAUUGAAGCUGGAGCUUGCUCCGGCCGAUUUAGUGGCGGACGGGUGAGUAACGCGUGGGUAACCUGCCUCAUACAGGGGGAUAGCAGUUGGAAACGACUGGUAAAACCGCAUAAGCGCACGGUGUCGCAUGACACAGUGUGAAAACACUCCGGUGGUAUGAGAUGGACCCGCGUCUGAUUAGCUAGUUGGUGAGGUAACGGCCCACCAAGGCGACGACCAGUAGCCGGCCUGAGAGGGUGAACGGCCACAUUGGGACUGAGACACGGCCCAAACUCCUACGGGAGGCAGCAGUGGGGAAUAUUGCACAAUGGGGGAAACCCUGAUGCAGCGACGCCGCGUGAGUGAUGAAGUGUUUCGGUAUGUAAAGCUCUAUCAGCAGGGAAGAUAAUGACGGUACCUGACUAAGAAGCACCGGCU
Molecule: ribosomal RNA, 458 nt
Filed under: uncultured bacterium
Lineage: Bacteria
Description: bacterial SSU rRNA
Rfam family: Bacterial small subunit ribosomal RNA
Source: RNAcentral